UGGCGAUGUCUGGCGGUAGCACAUAGGGCUCCCCCUUCUGGCCCUUUGGUCCUUGAACUCCAAUGGUACCAGGGAAACCAGAGUGUCCUGGUGUUCCUGGGUCACCUGGGUCACCUACUGUCCCAUUACAGCCAUCAUGACCUGGCUUCCCCCUUGAUCCUGGCUGCCCUGGAUGACCAGGAACGCCAUCUGCCCCUGGGAAACCAGUGACUCCUCUUUGCC
Molecule: long non-coding RNA, 222 nt
Filed under: Gallus gallus (chicken)
Lineage: Eukaryota; Metazoa; Chordata; Aves; Galliformes; Phasianidae
Source: RNAcentral